CCUACGGGUGGCAGCAGUGAGGAAUAUUGGUCAAUGGACGAGAGUCUGAACCAGCCAAGUAGCGUGAAGGAUGACUGCCCUAUGGGUUGUAAACUUCUUUUAUAUGGGAAUAAAAUGUUCCACGUGUGGGAUUUUGUAUGUACCAUAUGAAUAAGGAUCGGCUAACGCCGUGCCAGCAGCCGCGGUAAUACGGAGGAUCCGAGCGUUAUCCGGAUUUAUUGGGUUUAAAGGGAGCGUAGGUGGAUUGUUAAGUCAGUUGUGAAAGUUUGCGGCUCAACCGUAAAAUUGCAGUUGAAACUGGCAGUCUUGAGUACAGUAGAGGUGAGCGGAAGUCGUGGUGUAGCGGUGAAAUGCUUAGAUAUCACGAAGAACUCCGGUUGCGAAGGCAGUUCACUGGACUGCAACUGACACUGAGGCUCGAAAGUGUGGGUAUCAAACAGGAUUAGAUACCCCAGUAGUC
Molecule: ribosomal RNA, 460 nt
Filed under: uncultured bacterium
Lineage: Bacteria
Description: partial 16S ribosomal RNA
Rfam family: Bacterial small subunit ribosomal RNA
Source: RNAcentral